GCGUUCAUUAGCGAGUGGGAAACUUCAACAUGGCCGCCAUCUAUUCAAAUGGGGGUAACCGCUGGAAUAUUCUUGGCUUCAAUUUUACUAAAAGAGAUGCGCUAUCUAUAGUGUAUAUAAGAUAUCUAUGACAUGCAGGACCAUUCUCAAAAUCAAUUUUGUAAGAAUGCCUCCUGAAUAAAGAUUGUUAUCACCAAAAUUGUCUAUAAUCUUCGGCUUGAAAUUCCCAUCAACAAAAAUCCUUCAAGUGUAAGUUAUAUAGAGCGAAAUGCUCAAAAAAGUCUUGAUAUUUCCCCGGCCAUAGAUCGCUCUCAGCUUGAAUUGCAAGCAGACUACGAAUGGGUGAGCUUCACUCCUAAAUAUCAAUAGGAACAAGCAUGUUACUGAUGGAGGUGGCAACAGCGCUUGACGUCGCUAAGUUUCGCUGCUACGUUUCUCAGCGUGCCUGGGGUCAAAGUGAUUUCAAUCAUGCCAGGCUUCGGAAAUAUUCAGGAUAAACAGGUGAUCAAUUAUGGAUUAUUUAUAACAGUCAAGUUUGCGUCGUAAAGAAACGCCGAAUUGAAUAAACAGCCGUAGGAAAGAGGAAUGUUUGAAAUGUGCUGCACGUUAGUUGCACAGCGGUAUCAUUCCUGUUCUUGUUGGUGUCUUAGAAAAAACUGUUCGCCUUAAAGCUAAUUUCCACUCAGGAAAACUAUCCGUGCAUUGGAACGGACAAGAAAGUUUUUUUCUGUUAAAGUCAUU
Paramuricea clavata is the source of this 741-nucleotide non-coding RNA. NCBI's taxonomy places the organism in Eukaryota, Metazoa, Cnidaria, Anthozoa, Malacalcyonacea, Plexauridae. The record is from the annotation of a GenBank genome assembly.